Molecule: long non-coding RNA, 358 nt
Organism: Thalassophryne amazonica
Lineage: Eukaryota; Metazoa; Chordata; Actinopteri; Batrachoidiformes; Batrachoididae
Exons: 4
Source: RefSeq, a predicted model, not a curated record
AGCUUCGGUCGCGUUAGGACCAGUUCUUUUGGACUCCAACAACGCUGCUUUUAAAGUAGAAUUCCUUCGUGAAGAGGUUCAGUCAGUCUUUUCCACCAGCACUCCACCAGCGUGGCUGAAAAGUCGGUCCACGCCACAGAACCUUCCCGCUCUCUCCCAUGGAAAAGAGCAGAGAGCAACGCUUCACUUUGUGGAUGGAAGUUACGGUGUUGUCGAUGAGGUGCAUCGUCGAGAUGAGGUUCCUCUUAUAACUGCACAUGCAUGCACUGAAAAAAAUUACUUGACGAAGUUUGCUUAUUUUGAUGGACAUGCAGCCGUUGUUGGUGAUUAAAGAAGAAACUCUCCCUGAACACCAGGA